This 253-nucleotide ribosomal RNA is filed under the name uncultured bacterium. RNAcentral describes it as "partial 16S ribosomal RNA". It matches the Rfam family "Bacterial small subunit ribosomal RNA", at positions 524 to 776 of the family's 1533-position model. The record is from RNAcentral.
UACGUAGGGUGCAAGCGUUAAUCGGAAUUACUGGGCGUAAAGCGUGCGCAGGCGGUUUUGUAAGUCUGUCGUGAAAUCCCCGGGCUUAACCUGGGAAUGGCGAUGGAGACUGCAAGGCUAGAGUUUGGCAGAGGGGGGUAGAAUUCCACGUGUAGCAGUGAAAUGCGUAGAGAUGUGGAGGAACACCGAUGGCGAAGGCAGCCCCCUGGGCUGAGAUUGACGCUCAGGCACGAAAGCGUGGGGAGCAAACAGG